UACGGGGGGAGCAAGCGUUGUUCGGAUUUACUGGGCGUAAAGGGCGCGUAGGCGGUCAGCACAAGUCAGUUGUGAAAUCUCCGGGCUUAACUCGGAAAGGUCAACUGAUACUGUGCGACUAGAGUGCGGAAGGGGCAACUGGAAUUCUCGGUGUAGCGGUGAAAUGCGUAGAUAUCGGGAGGAACACCAGUGGCGAAGGCGGCGAUCUGGGAAGAUACUGACGCUGAGGUGCGAAAGCGUGGGGAGCAAACAGG
Molecule: ribosomal RNA, 254 nt
Filed under: uncultured bacterium
Lineage: Bacteria
Description: partial 16S ribosomal RNA
Rfam family: Bacterial small subunit ribosomal RNA
Source: RNAcentral